Molecule: ribosomal RNA, 497 nt
Filed under: uncultured bacterium
Lineage: Bacteria
Description: partial 16S ribosomal RNA
Rfam family: Bacterial small subunit ribosomal RNA
Source: RNAcentral
GAUGAACGCUGGCGGCGUGCCUAAUACAUGCAAGUCGAGCGAACAGACGAGGAGCUUGCUCCUCUGACGUUAGCGGCGGACGGGUGAGUAACACGUGGAUAACCUACCUAUAAGACUGGGAUAACUUCGGGAAACCGGAGCUAAUACCGGAUAACAUAUUGAACCGCAUGGUUCAAUAGUGAAAGACGGUUUUGCUGUCACUUAUAGAUGGAUCCGCGCCGCAUUAGCUAGUUGGUAAGGUAACGGCUUACCAAGGCAACGAUGCGUAGCCCACCUGAGAGGGUGAUCGGCCACACUGGAACUGAGACACGGUCCAGACUCCUACGGGAGGCAGCAGUAGGGAAUCUUCCGCAAUGGGCGAAAGCCUGACGGAGCAACGCCGCGUGAGUGAUGAAGGUCUUCGGAUCGUAAAACUCUGUUAUUAGGGAAGAACAAAUGUGUAAGUAACUAUGCACGUCUUGACGGUACCUAAUCAGAAAGCCACGGCUAACUACGUG